AGUAACAGCCAUUCUAACUGGUGUAAGAUGGUAUCUCAUUGCGGUUUUGAUUAACAACAGACAUUUCUAAUCUCACAGUUGAUGUGGGUCAGGAGCUCAGAAGCAGCUUAACUGGAUGGCUCUGACUCAGCGUCUCUCAUGAGGUGGUCGAGGUGGAGGCUGGGGCUGCAGUCAUCCGAAGAUUUGACUGGUGCAGGAAGAUCUGCUUCCAAGGUGACUCAUAUGUGUGGCUGUUGGCAGGAGGCUUCAGUCCUUGCCAUGUGAGCCUCUCUUCACAUCAUAACUGGCUUCUUCAAGAAUGAAUGAUCCAAGAGAAAGAAAGAAAGAGAAGCUGCAGUGUCUUUUAUAACCUAACCUUGGAAGUGACAUACCAUCAUUCCUGCAUAUUCUAUUGGUUACACAGACCAACCCCAGUACAGCGUGGGAGCAGACUACACAGUUUGAGAAGAUGGCGGCCUGAACCGGAGUCCUUCUUCCCCUCCUCCCUCUCCGCUGCUGCAAUGCCCAGGCCCCCCGCAACGUUCCUCGUCUGUAAUGGUGCCAGAGGCUUUAAAUCUUGCAGAAGCCACAUCUGCUGCCUGCAGUCUCCGGUAUGUCAUUAUCAGCAGUGUGAAAAUGGACUCACUCCCACCCUGUCUGGAUCUGGACAAGAGCCCACCACCCCGUUGGCAGUAGUCAGGCAGCUCUGCUUCUAAGAACCUGCAGCUUUUGGAAGAAAGGCACCCUGUGGUUUCAGAAGCCCAAGAGUCCCUGCAGCUCAGCACCCCCAGCCUGGUGCUUGGCAGAUGACUGCCUCCUCACUUAGCAGAGGGAGCAGAAAACUGUGUAUUCUUCAGAACAUCAUGAUAACCUGGCACUCAUGGGUCUAUGGAGAGAAUUCAGGGGGUCUGGGAGCUUGGAUGGAAUAAAUUUGCAUCUUUAUUUUCAGGAAAGUUUUACUGAAGUUUAGCAUUUUCUUUCAUUAUAAAUGGAAUCAGUAUAACCCAAUAGUAUGAGCAGUUACUUCUCCGCAACAUCAAAGUGGCUGCAGAUAUCUCAAAAUAGUAUUUACAUUUAUCAUAACUUAGAAAUUUGGGUGGUAAUUAAACCAGCAACUAUUCUUUGUUUAAUGCAUUAAGAAAGAAGUAUGUAUACUAUCAUAUCUCAAUUAAAAAUAUUUUAAGAACUGGA
Molecule: long non-coding RNA, 1170 nt
Organism: Homo sapiens (human)
Lineage: Eukaryota; Metazoa; Chordata; Mammalia; Primates; Hominidae
Source: Ensembl